GGGUUUCGGCUCGUAAAGCUCUGUUGUUAAAGAAGAACGUGGGUGAGAGUAACUGUUCACCCAGUGACGGUAUUUAACCAGAAAGCCACGGCUAACUACGUGCCAGCAGCCGCGGUAAUACGUAGGUGGCAAGCGUUAUCCGGAUUUAUUGGGCGUAAAGCGAGCGCAGGCGGUCUUUUAAGUCUAAUGUGAAAGCCUUCGGCUCAACCGAAGAAGUGCAUUGGAAACUCCGAGACUUGAGUGCAGAAGAGGACAGUGGAACUCCAUGUGUAGCGGUGAAAUGCGUAGAUAUAUGGAAGAACACCAGUGGCGAAGGCGGCUGUCUG
Molecule: ribosomal RNA, 326 nt
Filed under: Pediococcus acidilactici
Lineage: Bacteria; Bacillati; Bacillota; Bacilli; Lactobacillales; Lactobacillaceae
Description: bacterial SSU rRNA
Rfam family: Bacterial small subunit ribosomal RNA
Source: RNAcentral